UAGAAAUGUCUGAGCCGGAUAUGCUUC
RNAcentral lists this non-coding RNA (27 nucleotides) under Bombyx mori (domestic silkworm). The record is from RNAcentral. Lineage: Eukaryota; Metazoa; Arthropoda; Insecta; Lepidoptera; Bombycidae.